Non-coding RNA from Aegilops tauschii subsp. strangulata, 1527 nucleotides. Lineage: Eukaryota; Viridiplantae; Streptophyta; Magnoliopsida; Poales; Poaceae. The record is from RefSeq and is a predicted model, not a curated record.
GAUAGGGUUGCAGCGCAGCGCACGGAAUGGGCAUGGGCUUCUUCCUCCCCACCACACCCCUCUCUCUCUCUAAAAUUCACCGGCUCACCGCUCCGUGGAGUUCACAGUGCAGUGGCGCAGUACCAGUGUACCACCACGAGAGUAGACUGGUUCAAGCAAGCCGCACCCCACUCCCUGCCCCAGCAGCAGCGGCCACUUCCCCUCUCCCGUCACCUCGCCAAUCCCUGCUCGCCCCCGUUUCUUUCUUUUGAGACGGAAGGAUGGAUAGAUAAGAUGGCCUAGUGAGAGAGAUCGAUACAGAUAGAUAGGAUAGCUAGCUCUCUCCGAAGGAGACAUUCCCCGCUUUAUUGAUGCCAUGUGGUUACUGCCACCCUCCUUAAUAACCAUCGCUAACCAGCCAUACCACCCUGUAGAUGUAUCCCUCCUCCGUUAAGCUCGGCUAAGAGAUCCCUCUUUCCCACUUGAGGCCAACACCCCCCUCCUAGCUCCACCACAAACCUAGCUACAACUAUAAGUUUCCCACUUAGAACAAGUCACAACACAGCACGCCCCAACAACCCCACCGCCCAAUAACACACCACAAGAGAGAAGAAUCUCAGGUCCUAAUCGCACAGGCGAGAACGCGAGCGAGCUAGCUCCGGCGAGGCCUGGCCGGAGCCGCCCAUGGAGUACAAGAGGUCAUCGCAUGUGGAGGAGGACGAGGAUGAGGAUUGGGCGAUGAGGGACCGUCGGUACCAGCAUCAGCAUCCGCACCAUCAUCGCCAUCACUACACCACGGUGCCGGCCACGGCCGCGCCCCCGCAGACAUGCACCUGCACGGCCAAGCUCCCCAGGUUCUUGACUCGCUUGCCGCGGCUGCCCCUUCGCCCUCCUCCUUGAUGGAAGCCGCCGCUUUCUCUAGGCCCCUCCUGCUACUGAAUCUGGUUUAUAUCCAUUAAAAAACAUGAAAUUAUUCUCUUGUGAAGACUAAACGGAAUUGCUGGCGUCGUUGCAGAAGAUAUCAAGAUAAUGCUGAUCUGGGGCGAUGAGGACAAGCUUUUCGACAUAGAGCUGGCCAAGAAGAUGAACGAGCAGCUGGGCGAGAACUGCUACCUGCAGGGCAUCCCCAAGGCCGGGCACCUGCUCCACCUGGAGCGCCCCUGCGCCUACAACCGCCAGCUCGGCAGGUUCCUCGCCUACGUCAACUCCCAGGAAAACCAAACCACCAGUUGAAUCAAUCACUACUACUACUACUAUCUCGUUCGUUCCAGUUCCAGAGGAGGAGGAUAAUUAUUUGCAAGCAAAGCGAAGCAGGUAGCCUGUCAACGUUCGUUCUUCUGCAACACGCACCGCAUUGCAUGAUUGCCUGGAGAGGUCAGCCCAUGGAUGUGAAGCUAGCCAUUACUACUACGUGCAACUAGCUGCUAGGUUUACAGGGCCACAUUCCGUCGAUGGGUUGACGCCACGCUCGGUGUGCCGUGAUGGCGUUUUAUUUCCUCCUGUUCCUGGUCACUGUUUGCUUCGAUGCUACUACAUGACUUUUGUGGA